Molecule: ribosomal RNA, 250 nt
Filed under: uncultured prokaryote
Description: partial 16S ribosomal RNA
Rfam family: Bacterial small subunit ribosomal RNA
Source: RNAcentral
UACGUAGGGAGCGAGCGUUAUCCGGAUUUAUUGGGUGUAAAGGGUGCGUAGGCGGUUUUACAAGUCUGUGGUAUAAGCCCGAAGCUUAACUUCGGUUCGCCACAGAAACUAUAGAACUAGAGUAUGGUAGAGGCAAGCGGAAUUUCUAGUGUAGCGGUAAAAUGCGUAGAUAUUAGAAGGAACACCAGUGGCGAAGGCGGCUUGCUGGGCCAAAACUGACGCUGAGGCACGAAAGCGUGGGGAGCAAAUA